RNAcentral lists this transfer RNA (72 nucleotides) under Candidatus Woesearchaeota archaeon. RNAcentral's name for it is "tRNA-Tyr". It matches the Rfam family "tRNA". Rfam says of the family: Transfer RNA (tRNA) molecules are approximately 80 nucleotides in length. Their secondary structure includes four short double-helical elements and three loops (D, anti-codon, and T loops). Lineage: Archaea; Nanobdellati; Candidatus Woesearchaeota. The record is from RNAcentral.
CCCCGCUUAGCUCAACGGCAGAGUGUUCGGCUGUAGCCCGAAAGGUUGCUGGUUCAAAUCCGGCAGCGGGGA